RNAcentral lists this ribosomal RNA (493 nucleotides) under uncultured bacterium. RNAcentral's name for it is "partial 16S ribosomal RNA". It matches the Rfam family "Bacterial small subunit ribosomal RNA", at positions 29 to 507 of the family's 1533-position model. The record is from RNAcentral.
ACGAACGCUGGCGGCGUGCUUAACACAUGCAAGUCGAACGGUGAAGCGCCUUCCUUUUUGGUGGGUGUGGAUGAGUGGCGAACGGGUGAGUAACACGUGAGUAACCUGCCCCCUUCUUCUGGAUAACCGCAUGAAAGUGUGGCUAAUACGGGAUAUUCUGGGUCUGUCGCAUGAUGGGUCUGGGAAAGAUAUUGUUUCGGUGGGGGAUGGGCUCGCGGCCUAUCAGCUUGUUGGUGGGGUGAUGGCCUACCAAGGCGGUGACGGGUAGCCGGCCUGAGAGGGUGGACGAGCACACUGGGACGGAGGCACGGCCCAAACGCCUACGGGAGGCAGCAGUGGGGAAUAUUGCACAAUGGGCGCAAGCCUGAUGCAGCAUCGCCGCGUGAGGGAUGGAGGCCUUCGGGUUGUGAACCUCUUUCGCCAGUGAAGCAGGCCUGCCUCGUUUGUGGGUGGGUUGACGGUAGCUGGAUAAGAAGCGCCGGCUAACUACGUG